This 885-nucleotide ribosomal RNA is filed under the name Phaeoseptoriella sp. RNAcentral describes it as "partial large subunit ribosomal RNA". It matches the Rfam family "Eukaryotic large subunit ribosomal RNA", at positions 50 to 954 of the family's 3401-position model. The record is from RNAcentral. Lineage: Eukaryota; Fungi; Ascomycota; Dothideomycetes; Pleosporales; Phaeosphaeriaceae.
GCGGAGGAAAAGAAACCAACAGGGAUUGCCCUAGUAACGGCGAGUGAAGCGGCAACAGCUCAAAUUUGAAAUCUGGCUCUUUCAGAGUCCGAGUUGUAAUUUGCAGAGGGCGCUUUGGCUUUGGCAGCGGUCCAAGUUCCUUGGAACAGGACGUCACAGAGGGUGAGAAUCCCGUACGUGGUCGCUAGCCUUUGCCGUGUAAAGCCCCUUCGACGAGUCGAGUUGUUUGGGAAUGCAGCUCUAAAUGGGAGGUAAAUUUCUUCUAAAGCUAAAUACUGGCCAGAGACCGAUAGCGCACAAGUAGAGUGAUCGAAAGAUGAAAAGCACUUUGGAAAGAGAGUCAAACAGCACGUGAAAUUGUUGAAAGGGAAGCGCUUGCAGCCAGACUUGCCUGUAGUUGCUUAUCUGGACUUUUGUCCAGUGCACUCUUCUGCGGGCAGGCCAGCAUCAGUUUGGGCGGUUGGAUAAAGGUCUCUGUCAUGUACCUCCUUUCGGGGAGGCCUUAUAGGGGAGACGACAUGCAACCAGCCUGGACUGAGGUCCGCGCAUCUGCUAGGAUGCUGGCGUAAUGGCUGUAAGCGGCCCGUCUUGAAACACGGACCAAGGAGUCUAACAUCUAUGCGAGUGUUUGGGUGUCAAGCCCAGACGCGUAAUGAAAGUGAACGGAGGUGGGAACCUUUUAGGUGCACCAUCGACCGAUCCUGAUGUCUUCGGAAGGAUUUGAGUAAGAGCAUGGCUGUUGGGACCCGAAAGAUGGUGAACUAUGCUUGAAUAGGGUGAAGCCAGAGGAAACUCUGGUGGAGGCUCGCAGCGGUUCUGACGUGCAAAUCGAUCGUCAAAUUUGGGCAUAGGGGCGAAAGACUAAUCGAACUAUCUAGUAGCUGG